GGAAUCAUCACCCCGAGUGCCUCCCAUAGCCAGCGCUUGACAAAUGGGCAAGAUUCAGUCCAAGCCUAUGGGCUCAGCCCUUUGUUUCCCAGAGCCUCAGCCUCCAUGCCUAUUCACCCACACACUACCAGCCCCUCCACCCAGGAACAGCAUCAGCAACCACGCAGAGAGGAGCCCAUUGCUGCUGAAGGUGAGAGGCUGUCCUCUGCCUGCUUUCAGGACUCCUGGUUCUCAGGCUGCUAGACCUGAACUGGAAUCUACAGCCACUGGCUCUCUGGCUUUCAGGUCUUCAAACUACAUCACCAGCUUUCCUGGGCCUGAACCUUGCCAAUGACAGAUUGUGGGACUUCUCAGCCUCCAUAAACAUAGUCUCGCUUUGGUGCCCAGGCUGGUGUGCAGUGGCACCAUCACAGCUCACUGAAGCCUCAACCUCCCAGGCAAUUCUACCUCAGCCUCCCGAGUAGCUGGGACUACAGGCAUGCACCACCACACCCGACUAAUUUUUGUAUUUAUGUUGCCUAGACUGGUCCCAGAAUCUUGGCCUUAAGUGACCUUCUCGCCUCUGGUUCCCAAAGUGUACAGGCAUGAACAACCACACCUGGCCUGAUUUUCUAUUAAUAAUAAUUAUAUACCCUAGUAUUAAUAUAUGUAGUUAUCCUCCUGCCCUGUCUUUCAAGUUUCUAAAAAACAAAAUUAUACCUCUACAAGCCUUGUAUAAUUUUCUUUUUUUUUUCUUUUUUUUUUUUUUGAGAUGGAGUCUCGCUCUGUCGCCCAGGCUGGAGGGCAGUGACGCAAUCUUGCCUCACUGCAAGCUCCGCCUCCAGGUCCACGACAUUCUCCUGCCUCAGCCUCCCUAGUAGCUGACACUACAGGCACCCGCCACCACGCCUGGCUAAUUUUUUAUAUUUUUAGUAGAGACAGCGUUUCACCGUGUUAACCAGGAUGGUCUCGAUCUCCUGACCUCGUGAUCCGCCUGCCUCGGCCUCCCAAAGUGCUGGGAUUACAGGCGUGAGCCACUGCGCCCAGCCAAGCCUUGUAUAAUUUUCUAAAGAAGUUUCUAGGAUACAACAUUCCAGUGGAAAUGUCCCCAAGAGAACAAAUUGCUUCUCCUUAGUAUUUCUUCCAGCCUACCAACCACGGGGUCUCCUUUUCCUUUCUUCUUUUUGGUACCCUCUUGUUAUCCUAAUUACAGAGAGCAAAACAAAGAAUGUUCAUAAAGUGGUAAAACUCAAGUGGCAGAAGAUCAGAAUCCUCCUAUAAUAAUAUUGAGAAAUUGUCCAAGCUUUCUAAAGAGAGCUGCUUUGCAUGCAUUUUCACUUAAUCCUUCAAAAUACUCCCAUAUAAUGUAUAUUAUUACGUCACCAUUUUACAGAUGUAGAAACCGAGGAUCAGUGAUAUUAAAUAAAGUUGCCCAGGCCCAUCAAGCUAAUAAGUGUCAAUGCAGAGACUCAGACUCAGGGCUGUCUGAAUUCAAAGCCUGUGCUGUUGAAUGCCUUCUAACGCUGCCUCACAAAUCCUCAUUUAUUCAGGACUUACAUCAAUAUUAAACACUCUUCCUCCCCAGUCAGGCCUCUUCCUUGUUGCUGGGUGAGUGACCGUGCUGUUAG
Molecule: long non-coding RNA, 1607 nt
Filed under: Homo sapiens (human)
Lineage: Eukaryota; Metazoa; Chordata; Mammalia; Primates; Hominidae
Description: HSALNT0296280
Source: RNAcentral